AUCGCCCUGGAGACCACCGCCCGUGACGGCGA
RNAcentral lists this non-coding RNA (32 nucleotides) under Geobacter sulfurreducens PCA. Lineage: Bacteria; Pseudomonadati; Thermodesulfobacteriota; Desulfuromonadia; Geobacterales; Geobacteraceae. The record is from RNAcentral.